CCAUAAGGCGCCCUAGGGCCUACCGGGACUGGGGGCUGCCCGGGGCGGGGCGCGCUGUCCGGCCCGGGCCCACUGGCGGGGGGAGGGGUGACCCGGGGGUGGGGCCGUGGGCCAGGCCCCGUUAGCGGCGGGAAGGAAAGUUUCCAACUCAGCGGGAUGGAAGGGGCCCCGGGCCGUGAAGUUACCUGCGGGUCCCGGACGGGAAGAAGGCACCAGUGGAUCCUGAGCCCGGAGCCGCCUCAGCUGCUUUGUCUCUGCGCCGCGCCCGUCCCGACUGGAGAGGAGGAAAUGGGCUCUUCCGGGCACCUCCCCCUACGGCCUAGCCGGCUCUUCCGGGCACCUCCCCCUACAGCUCCGCCGGCUCUUCCCGGGGCCGCCCGCCCUGCGCAGAUGCCCAUGGCAGCCAUGCUGUGGGGCCAGGAAGCAUCACAGCGGAGGCACCUAUCCAUGCUCUGCAAGGAUGAAGAGGCCCAAUUAUCAGACAGUGCUGCCAUCUGAAUGGGAAAGAAAGGAAAGGUGAAAUUGUUCAGGUGAGAUCGAAUUUUGAGGUAUUUAAGAUUC
This 561-nucleotide long non-coding RNA is filed under the name Chrysemys picta bellii (western painted turtle). RNAcentral's name for it is "lncRNA (ENSCPBG00000000402.1)". Lineage: Eukaryota; Metazoa; Chordata; Testudines; Emydidae. The record is from RNAcentral.